Molecule: unclassified non-coding RNA, 200 nt
Filed under: Conlarium sp.
Lineage: Eukaryota; Fungi; Ascomycota; Sordariomycetes; Conlariaceae
Description: partial internal transcribed spacer 2
Source: RNAcentral
UUAAGUUCAGCGGGUAUUCCUACCUGAUCCGAGGUCAACCUUGUGAAAAUUAGGAGGUUUCACGGCUAAGAACCCGCCAUGAGCCACAGAAGCGAGGUGUAAACUACUACGCUCAGGGUCACAGCGACCUUGCCACUAUCUUUCAGGGCCUGCUGCAGGCAGCAGAAGCCCCAACACCAAGCACUACAGCGCUUGAGGGU